UACCAGACUCCUACGGGAGGCAGCAGUGGGGGAUAUUGCACAAUGGGGGAAACCCUGAUGCAGCGACGCCGCGUGGGCGAAGAAGUAUUUCGGUAUGUAAAGCCCUAUCAGCAGGGAAGAAGAAAUGACGGUACCUGAGUAAGAAGCACCGGCUAAAUACGUGCCAGCAGCCGCGGUAAUACGUAGGGGGCAAGCGUUGUUCGGAAUGACUGGGCGUAAAGGGUGCGUAGGCGGUGUAGCAAGUUAGAAGUGAAAUACCUAGAGCUUAACUCAGGUGCUGCUUCUAAAACUGCUAUACUUGAGUGCAGUAGAGGAAAGUGGAAUUCCUAGUGUAGCGGUGGAAUGCGUAGAUAUUAGGAGGAACAUCAGUGGCGAAGGCGACUUUCUGGACUGUAACUGACGCUGAGGCACGAAAGUGUGGGGAGCAAACAGGAUUAGAUACCCCGGUAA
This 450-nucleotide ribosomal RNA is filed under the name uncultured bacterium. RNAcentral's name for it is "partial 16S ribosomal RNA". It matches the Rfam family "Bacterial small subunit ribosomal RNA", at positions 329 to 793 of the family's 1533-position model. The record is from RNAcentral.